RNAcentral lists this unclassified non-coding RNA (346 nucleotides) under uncultured fungus. RNAcentral describes it as "partial contains small subunit ribosomal RNA, internal transcribed spacer 1, and 5.8S ribosomal RNA". The stretch from base 1 to 73 matches the Rfam family "Eukaryotic small subunit ribosomal RNA", at positions 1759 to 1831 of the family's 1831-position model. The record is from RNAcentral. Lineage: Eukaryota; Fungi.
ACAAACUUGGUCAUUUAGAGGAAGUAAAAGUCGUAACAAGGUUUCCGUAGGUGAACCUGCGGAAGGAUCAUUAAAAGUGCCAGCUUUGACUGGCUAGUGCCCCUCUACGAGAGCACUUCUAGCCCUCAGCAGUAAUGUUUUGGGUGAGCUAGAGAUGCUCUACUUAGGGCGGCCGCAGAGUCUCUCUGCUAUCCUUUGUCUAAGAGUACUAUUUUAUCCUCGGUGGGCUUGCCUAUCGAUGGACCUUAUGAACCUUCUUUUAUAAUACAAGUCUGAACAUUCAAAUAAAUUAAUUACAACUUUCAACAAUGGAUCUCUUGGCUCUGGCAUCAAUGAAGAACGCAGC